GGCUGCGUGAUCUAGUGGUAUAAUUCUAGCCUAGGGUGCGAGAGGUCCCGAGUUCAAUUGUCGCCACAGGCCU
Molecule: transfer RNA, 73 nt
Filed under: Perkinsus olseni
Lineage: Eukaryota; Perkinsozoa; Perkinsida; Perkinsidae
Description: tRNA-Pro
Source: RNAcentral